AGGAAAGUGAAUGAUUGGGUUGCUGUUGCAUAUGAAAAACAAUGGAAUAUUGGAUAUAUUGUGGAGGUAUCUAUAACUGGGAUCAGAGUUAAUUGUAUGAUUAAGGGGCAAGAGAAGAAUACUUUUCGCUGGCCAGUUACUACCGAGGAGAUAAAUAACCAAACUGAUAAAAUUAUCUGUUUAGUAAAUGCUCCUUUUCUAAUCAGUGGUUGUGGCGAUUAUUCAUUAUCCGAAGAAGACUUUAAUACAGUCAUAUUAUUAUUCUUAGAGAAACUUACUACAGCAGAGUAGAAAUUAUGUGUGAUGUGGUGGAUAAUGUGUGUAAAUGACUCUAUUAAUAAAUGAAAAACUAAUUUUUAAAUGGAAAAACAUUUAAAUGUUUG
Non-coding RNA from Hydra vulgaris (swiftwater hydra), 383 nucleotides. The record is from RefSeq and is a predicted model, not a curated record. Lineage: Eukaryota; Metazoa; Cnidaria; Hydrozoa; Anthoathecata; Hydridae.